This 468-nucleotide ribosomal RNA is filed under the name uncultured bacterium. Its description in RNAcentral is "partial 16S ribosomal RNA". It matches the Rfam family "Bacterial small subunit ribosomal RNA", at positions 28 to 507 of the family's 1533-position model. The record is from RNAcentral.
GACGAACGCUGGCGGCGUGCUUAACACAUGCAAGUCGAACGGAAAGGCCCUGCUUUUGUGGGGUGCUCGAGUGGCGAACGGGUGAGUAACACGUGAGUAACCUGCCCUUGACUUUGGGAUAACUUCAGGAAACUGGGGCUAAUACCGGAUAGGAGCUCCUGCUGCAUGGUGGGGGUUGGAAAGUUUCGGCGGUUGGGGAUGGACUCGCGGCUUAUCAGCUUGUUGGUGGGGUAGUGGCUUACCAAGGCUUUGACGGGUAGCCGGCCUGAGAGGGUGACCGGCCACAUUGGGACUGAGAGACGGCCCAGACGCCUACGGGAGGCAGCAGUGGGGAAUAUGGCACAGUGGGCGGAAGCCUGAUGCAGCAACGCCGCGUGCGGGAUGACGGCCUUCGGGUUGUAAACCGCUUUCGCCUGUGACGAAGCGUGAGUGACGGUAAUGGGUAAAGAAGCACCGGCUAACUACGUG